This is a non-coding RNA of Acanthosepion pharaonis, 107 nucleotides long. NCBI's taxonomy places the organism in Eukaryota, Metazoa, Mollusca, Cephalopoda, Sepiida, Sepiidae. The record is from the annotation of a GenBank genome assembly.
ACAUUGGCCAUAUCACGCUGUUUCCUGUACGAUCACCGAAGUUAAGCAAAGUCGAGCCUGGUCAGUACCUAGAUUGGUGACAGCUUGGGAAUACCAAGUGCCGUAAG